UACGUAGGGAGCAAGCGUUGUCCGGAUUCAUUGGGCGUAAAGGGUGCGUAGGCGGCGCGGUAAGUCGGGUGUGAAAUCUUGGAGCUUAACUCCGAAACUGCAUUCGAUACUGCCGUGCUUGAGGACUGGAGAGGAGACUGGAAUUUACGGUGUAGCGGUGAAAUGCGUAGAUAUCGUAAGGAAGACCAGUGGCGAAGGCGGGUCUCUGGACAGUUCCUGACGCUGAGGCACGAAGGCCAGGGGAGCAAACGGG
RNAcentral lists this ribosomal RNA (253 nucleotides) under uncultured bacterium. RNAcentral's name for it is "partial 16S ribosomal RNA". It matches the Rfam family "Bacterial small subunit ribosomal RNA", at positions 524 to 776 of the family's 1533-position model. The record is from RNAcentral.